Non-coding RNA from Triticum urartu, 100 nucleotides. NCBI's taxonomy places the organism in Eukaryota, Viridiplantae, Streptophyta, Magnoliopsida, Poales, Poaceae. The record is from Rfam.
UCGGGGAGCCCGGCGGCUCUGUGGUGUUCAAGCAGGAACCUCAUGCUACCGGCAGCAUGCGGCGCUUGCUUGAACAUCCCAGAGCCACCGGCGUGCCAAA